RNAcentral lists this transfer RNA (73 nucleotides) under Pseudanoplocephala crawfordi. RNAcentral's name for it is "tRNA-His". The record is from RNAcentral. Lineage: Eukaryota; Metazoa; Platyhelminthes; Cestoda; Cyclophyllidea; Hymenolepididae.
UUGCUGGUAGGUUAUUAAAACUGACAAGUUGUGGUUUUGUUGAAUACAUUUUAUGCUUUUGUGUACCAGUAAA